This 759-nucleotide unclassified non-coding RNA is filed under the name Hevea brasiliensis (rubber tree). Lineage: Eukaryota; Viridiplantae; Streptophyta; Magnoliopsida; Malpighiales; Euphorbiaceae. The record is from RNAcentral.
AGGCAUUCCCUGCCAGCACGUAAUUAUUCUCCACUCUUUGCAUCCUUAGUGUAUAUGGGGUAUUUGUGUGUGUUUGUCACAUGCAAGUUAUGGUUUAUUAAAAUUUUCUUUUAUUGAUCUAAGUUCUCAAAAUUGGGGAAUCUGGAUUGCUAUGUUGAAUAUCAAUUAAAAGUCUCUACAUAUUGUUUGGUUCAACCUUUUAAAGAUGCUGUAUUUUACUCCAGUCCGGAAAUAAUACCUUCCCCAUGGCUGAUGGUUCUCUUUGUUCUGGUCAUUGCAGCCCAAAUGAAUUUUGUUUUCUUCUUGUGGCCUCCACUGAUCAUGUUUAUUGUCUAUAUAUAUUACUUUUAGAUUAGUGUCAAAGUAUCUCAUGUCCAUAGCUGCAAUAUUCCUAGUACCUUAUUGGAUUAUGAAUAACAAGAUUGAUAGCUUAUCCUUCCUUUGCCUAAUUGCGUCCUCCACUGGUAGAGCAGCAUAGGAUCUGUAACUCUUUAAGUAAUUUCCUCAUUUAAUUUGAUAAAAUUUUACAUUAAUCAGACUUGAUACGAAGAUACCAUACUUCUAGUGGUGCUUCCUAAGAGCUCAAGAUCAAGUUUCUUGCCCCUACUUUCUGUUCACUUCCUUUCUUUUGUCAUAGAUAGAAGAGCACGCAUGAAACUUUUUUGUUAUCAUUUUGUAACCUGUGUCUGCAUAUUGCACGUUGAUAUAGACUUGUACUUUGACAAAUAGGUCUCAAAUCUUCUAGUCAUUCGGAUGACA